UAAACACACGUGUGGCAAAUUGUCGUGCCCGGUUGACGGGAAAAAACAUACAAAAAGUACACUUUUCAAUCUAAAUGACAAGUCGGCACAUACUACAAGUAUCACAGAACAUUCUGAUAAAUCCAUCAGCAAUGAAACAGGAACCUGAGCUGUUCCUUAGAGGGCACCCCUCUGUAAUCGUGGAGCUGUGUCACCUUCUGUAGAACAUCUGAAUCAUCAUCUGCCAAAGAGCCAACCGACCCGCCAUCCAAGCCCCAAGCAUGAACGUUGGCAAUAUCAACGAUUCAAAGGAUCGAUGUGUGACAAAACGUAACCAACCCUGAGAUGAUACUAAGAGGCACCCUGAUGAACUCCAACCACUGGGUCAUCCUUUGCAGGUG
Molecule: long non-coding RNA, 380 nt
Organism: Asterias rubens (European starfish)
Lineage: Eukaryota; Metazoa; Echinodermata; Asteroidea; Forcipulatida; Asteriidae
Exons: 3
Source: RefSeq, a predicted model, not a curated record